GCCCUAGUAGCUCAACAGAUCAGAGCAC
Molecule: transfer RNA, 28 nt
Filed under: Parosphromenus ornaticauda
Lineage: Eukaryota; Metazoa; Chordata; Actinopteri; Anabantiformes; Osphronemidae
Description: partial tRNA-Thr
Source: RNAcentral